UGCUCUUACCCUCUUGCCUCGCCCGCUGGCUUCUGGUGAGCCUGAGGGUGUUGUGCCAGCUCUGGGCAGGCGGAGAGAGGUUCUGGGACCUGCUGGGGGCAGCCUGUGCUGAGGGGCUUACAUUUUUGACCCCUGAGGAGGAGAGAGGCAGCAGGCCCCAACACUGGACACCCGCAGCCCCCAGAGUUCCCUGGCCCUGCACAUGUCCGCUGUCACGGGCCCUUCCUCCAUGAAAUACAUGCAAACUUCUACUUCAUGCCUGUGUUGGUAUAAAGUGAUUUUAUGCUCUUCUGGCCUAGAGGACUUGGUUCCAGAGGGAGGAAUGCCUCCACAAGGAGACACAAUGAUGAUUCCAUUGAACUGGAAGUUAAGACUGCCACCUGGUCACCUUGGGAUCCUCUUGCCUAUGAGUCAACAGGCAAAAAAGGGAGUUAGGGUGUUGGCUGGAGUGAUUGAUCUGACUACCCUGGGGAAAUUGGACUGCUACUCCACAAUAGAGGAAUGAAACACAAAAAAGAUGGAUUCCCUUCCUCCUUGGCUGCUGUUGUUCCCGGUGCUGUGGCAGUUGUCCUGUGCCCCUGAAGGAAGCCAGAGUCCACGGAGAACUGCAGAGUGCCUGGUGACACUGCUGAGCAGCUAACCAUCUCUAGAGUGGUCUUGUCUCUGGACUUCUUGUUACUGCAGAUGACAAAUUUCUUUAUUGUUUAAACUAGUUUAAACUAUGACACUAUUUUUGUUCUCUCUCUCUCUCAGUUUUGGUUGUUUAUUUUUGUCUGCCUGCUUGCUUUUAUUACUCAUAGAUGAAUGCAAACUAACUUAUAUACUUUGAAAACUGUUGACUUAGCCCAAUCACCACUUUUCAGAGAUGAGGUGACUGAGACCGAGGGGAAUAGAGAAUGACU
Molecule: long non-coding RNA, 902 nt
Organism: Lemur catta (Ring-tailed lemur)
Lineage: Eukaryota; Metazoa; Chordata; Mammalia; Primates; Lemuridae
Exons: 3
Source: RefSeq, a predicted model, not a curated record